AGUCAUUUGGAUUGGCUCCAAGCCCUCUAAUGGAAUUGACCACUCCAUUUACCCUGAUCAUGUAAGUAUCAAUGUUCUCUCCAUCUUACAUUAAGAGACUUUCAAACUAAGCCCUGAAGAUCUAUAGCUUGGCUUUUCUAGAUUUUGUGAUCUCCUUCACAGAUACUCUUGAGCUUGUCUCAGAUAUCUUUUGCUGAAUCACAAUCCAACACCUUGACCAUAACACUCUUGUCCAAUGCUGAGAAAAUAAUAUUUAUUGCCUUCAGAUUGUGACCAUAAGCUUUCUUAGCUUCAUUAUUUAUAAGAGUUGUCUCUGAUUCUUUGUGAUUAAUUAGGAUUGAUGUCCAAACAUCAUACCUAAGAGAGCCUAGAUAUGAUUGCAUCAUUCUCUUCCAAAACACAUAAUUUGAUUCAUCAAAUCUCAGAGCAUUCUAUAAAGAACCUUCAACUGUUGUAUUACCUCUAGAUCGGAUCGAAGUCCUCUAUGGGGAGUUGUAUUGGCAGAGGCUAGCAGAAAGCACCGGAGAUAACGACACGUGGCAUCUGGAUCUGGAAUCUGGAUUUUGAAAAUAACCGGUUCAUCCUCAACCAAAACCCCAAAACCUAAGGUUCCUUUACCGUGAGAUGCUGAUCGAGGGAAAACCUAGGCUCUUCAUCCUUUUUCUUCGAGGAUUCUUGUUGUCCAUCCUUUAUCUCUCUCAUUCGAACGAAGAAAGUAAAUCGAUCGAUGUCCUUCUUCUCCAGAUCUGCAAUAGCGACUUGGUUUGUGUUUCAUUUUCUUAUACUUCUUUCCUUUAUCGGUUGAAGACGAUGGACUUCUAACUUGUUCCUUGUGUUUAAAAAAUCUCUCCUUUUUUCUGGUUUUAUGUGAUCUAAUCUCAUUUUCAUUUUCUUUUGCGAUGAAUAUUGUGUGAGACUGUAAUAGAGAAAAGAAGAAGAAGAGAAGAUUUUAUAAGUCGUUUAAGUGGUUUCAACUGUCUGAGAUUAUCCAUUGGUGAAUAGAGAAUAGAGCAUGGAAAAUAUGUCCGGAUGUUUUGUUCUUUUUUUAACUACUUUUGCAUCAAUAUUACCUGUGAGACUUCAUUGGUCUAUGUUUUCAAAGUUUACCUUUGGAAUGGGGUUCCAUGGAUUAUAGGACCAGUGAAAAGUUAUUAGUGUUGAAAUUUUUUUCAUAAUAUUUUCCUUAAUUAGUAGAUUAGGUCUCUUAUCUCAUUCUGAUCUGGAAAAAGCAACAAGCAGUUGUUAUGUACCAACAAUAGAUAAACAUCUGUUACAGGUUUUAUCCUCACUUUUAAUAGAAACAUCAGAUAUCGGAGAGUUGCUCUU
Molecule: long non-coding RNA, 1326 nt
Organism: Macadamia integrifolia
Lineage: Eukaryota; Viridiplantae; Streptophyta; Magnoliopsida; Proteales; Proteaceae
Exons: 2
Source: RefSeq, a predicted model, not a curated record